Molecule: ribosomal RNA, 498 nt
Filed under: uncultured bacterium
Lineage: Bacteria
Description: partial 16S ribosomal RNA
Rfam family: Bacterial small subunit ribosomal RNA
Source: RNAcentral
AUUGAACGCUGGCGGCAUGCCUUACACAUGCAAGUCGAACGGUAACAGGUCUUCGGAUGCUGACGAGUGGCGAACGGGUGAGUAAUGCAUCGGAACGUGCCCAGUAGUGGGGGAUAGCCCAGCGAAAGCCGGAUUAAUACCGCAUACGACCUGAGGGUGAAAGGGGGGGAUCGCAAGACCUCUCGCUAUUGGAGCGGUCGAUGUCAGAUUAGCUAGUUGGUGGGGUAAAGGCCUACCAAGGCAACGAUCUGUAGUUGGUCUGAGAGGACGACCAGCCACACUGGGACUGAGACACGGCCCAGACUCCUACGGGAGGCAGCAGUGGGGAAUUUUGGACAAUGGGCGCAAGCCUGAUCCAGCAAUGCCGCGUGCAGGAAGAAGGCCUUCGGGUUGUAAACUGCUUUUGUCAGGGAAGAAAUCUUCUGGGUUAAUACCUCGGGAGGAUGACGGUACCUGAAGAAUAAGCACCGGCUAACUACGUGCCAGCCGCCGCGGUAA